RNAcentral lists this ribosomal RNA (253 nucleotides) under uncultured bacterium. RNAcentral describes it as "partial 16S ribosomal RNA". It matches the Rfam family "Bacterial small subunit ribosomal RNA", at positions 524 to 776 of the family's 1533-position model. The record is from RNAcentral.
UACGAAGGGAGCUAGCGUUGUUCGGAAUCACUGGGCGUAAAGCGCACGUAGGCGGAUUUGCCAGUCAGGGGUGAAAUCCCGGGGCUCAACCCCGGAACUGCCUUUGAUACUGAUAGUCUCGAGUCCGGAAGAGGUGAGUGGAAUUCCGAGUGUAGAGGUGAAAUUCGUAGAUAUUCGGAGGAACACCAGUGGCGAAGGCGGCUCACUGGUCCGGUACUGACGCUGAGACGCGAAAGCGUGGGGAGCAAACAGG